AUUGAACGCUGGCGGAAUGCUUUACACAUGCAAGUCGAACGGCAGCACGGACUUCGGUCUGGUGGCGAGUGGCGAACGGGUGAGUAACAUAUCGGAACGUAUCCAAUAAUGGGGGAUAACGAGUCGAAAGAUUCGCUAAUACCGCAUACGCCCUACGGGGGAAAGCUGGGGACCUUCGGGCCUGGCGUUAAUGGAGCGGCCGAUAUCUGAUUAGCUAGUUGGUGAGGUAAAGGCACACCAAGGCGACGAUCAGUAGCUGGUCUGAGAGGACGACCAGCCACACUGGAACUGAGACACGGUCCAGACUCCUACGGGAGGCAGCGGUGGGGAAUUUUGGACAAUGGGCGAAAGCCUGAUCCAGCCAUUCCGCGUGCAGGAUGAAGGCCCUCGGGUUGUAAACUGCUUUUGUACAGAACGAAAAGGUUUCUACUAAUACUAGGAGCUCAUGACGGUACUGUAAGAAUAAGCACCGGCUAACUACGUGCCAGCCGCCGCUGUAA
This 500-nucleotide ribosomal RNA is filed under the name uncultured bacterium. Its description in RNAcentral is "partial 16S ribosomal RNA". It matches the Rfam family "Bacterial small subunit ribosomal RNA", at positions 30 to 523 of the family's 1533-position model. The record is from RNAcentral.